This is a long non-coding RNA of Procambarus clarkii (red swamp crayfish), 734 nucleotides long. RefSeq lists it as uncharacterized. Lineage: Eukaryota; Metazoa; Arthropoda; Malacostraca; Decapoda; Cambaridae. The record is from RefSeq and is a predicted model, not a curated record.
AGGUAAUAGCGGACAGAUUGGCAGGACCCCUGGGCUGCGUGGAAGAACAGACGCUUCAACUGCCCUAUUCGUGAGGACUUGGCAGCAAGAGGGUAGCGUGUGGAGAGGUUGUGGCUUGGCGGAACAGAAUGAUGAAGUAUAUUGUUUGAGAAAUGCGCAUAGGGUGGAGACGACGAGCAACGUGACGGUGGCGAGUAAUGGAAGAGGCAGUGAUCUUGAGUAGAGUCUGUUUAUGAUCACCUUAUAAUACCCCUCACUGUUGCCUAUGUGGUGCUUUGACUUUUACCCCUCCUGUACCUCAUGUUCCCCUUCACCCAUCUCCGUGUUUCUGGCCUUGGGAAAGAAGAAAGGUAAAGAGGAAGGCAGGAAGAAGUGGUGGUGGUUUCUGAUAAAACAAAGGAUCAAGAUAAGGAUGAUGGCAUGUGUGUUGACUAACUGGUGUCCAUGGAUGUUUGCCUUCAAUUUUAUAUUUUGUUUUAUCAUUGGAUACUUGUGCAUAGAUUUGUAAAGGGACCUAUGAGCUCAAUGUUGAAUAGCAUGUGAAAGGUAUUCCUUGAAUAUUUAUCAGUUAGGAGAUAGUGAUGAUUGUGGCAUUAUUACACGAGUGUACUGUCAGCAUCACAUUUUCAUUAUUGUAUUAGUUGAUUUGUAAUGUACAAGUGGGGAUUUUGUAAUGUAGUUUUGAUAAGUCUGAAACAGGAGAGUAAUAGAAGACAUUAAAUAAUAUACGCAAA